AGAACGAACGCUGGCGGCAGGCUUAACACAUGCAAGUCGAACGCGUGUAGCAAUACACGAGUGGCGCACGGGUGAGUAACGCGUGGAUAUCUGCCUUUUGGUUCGGAAUAACCCCGGGAAACUGGGGCUAAUACCGGAUGGUUCCUACGGGAUAAAGAUUUAUCGCCAAAAGAUGAGUCCGCGUACGAUUAGCUAGUUGGUGAGGUAAUGGCUCACCAAGGCGACGAUCGUUAGCUGGUCUGAGAGGACGAUCAGCCACACUGGGACUGAGACACGGCCCAGACUCCUACGGGAGGCAGCAGUGGGGAAUAUUGGACAAUGGGGGCAACCCUGAUCCAGCCAUGCCGCGUGAGUGAUGAAGGCCUUCGGGUUGUAAAGCUCUUUUGGCGGGACGAUGAUGACGGUACCGCAGAAUAGCCCCGGCUAACUUCGUGCCAGCAGCCGC
RNAcentral lists this ribosomal RNA (445 nucleotides) under uncultured bacterium. RNAcentral describes it as "SSU rRNA". It matches the Rfam family "Bacterial small subunit ribosomal RNA", at positions 26 to 518 of the family's 1533-position model. The record is from RNAcentral.